GAGCUCCAAGUGGGCCAU
This 18-nucleotide small nuclear RNA is filed under the name Arabidopsis thaliana (thale cress). Its description in RNAcentral is "snRNA_04124". The record is from RNAcentral. Lineage: Eukaryota; Viridiplantae; Streptophyta; Magnoliopsida; Brassicales; Brassicaceae.